This 437-nucleotide ribosomal RNA is filed under the name uncultured bacterium. RNAcentral describes it as "partial 16S ribosomal RNA". It matches the Rfam family "Bacterial small subunit ribosomal RNA", at positions 29 to 507 of the family's 1533-position model. The record is from RNAcentral.
AGCGAACGCUGGCGGCAGGCUUAACACAUGCAAGUCGAGCGGGCAUCCUUGUGGUGUCAGCGGCAGACGGGUGAGUAACGCGUGGGAACGUGCCCUUCGGUUCGGAAUAACUCAGGGAAACUUGAGCUAAUACCGGAUACGUGCGAGAGCAGAAAGGUUUAUCUGCCGAAGGAUCGGCCCGCGUCUGAUUAGCUAGUUGGUGAGGUUAUGGCUCACCAAGGCGACGAUCAGUAGCUGGUCUGAGAGGAUGAUCAGCCACACUGGGACUGAGACACGGCCCAGACUCCUACGGGAGGCAGCAGUGGGGAAUAUUGGACAAUGGGGGCAACCCUGAUCCAGCCAUGCCGCGUGAGUGAUGACGGCCUUAGGGUUGUAAAGCUCUUUUCUCCGGGAUGAUAAUGACGGUACCGGAGGAAUAAGCCCCGGCUAACUUCGUG